AUACGGGGGUUGCAAGCGUUAAUCGGAAUUACUGGGCGUAAAGCGCGCGUAGGCGGUUUGCUCAGUCGGAUGUGAAAGCCCAGGGCUCAACCUUGGAACUGCAUACGAUACUGGCAAACUAGAGUGUGAGAGAGGAUAGUGGAAUUUCCGGUGUAGCGGUGAAAUGCGUAGAUAUCGGAAGGAACAUCAGUGGCGAAGGCGACUGUCUGGCUCAACACUGACGCUGAGGUGCGAAAGCGUGGGUAGCAAACAGGAUUAGAUACCCCAGUAGUCC
Molecule: ribosomal RNA, 274 nt
Filed under: uncultured bacterium
Lineage: Bacteria
Description: partial 16S ribosomal RNA
Rfam family: Bacterial small subunit ribosomal RNA
Source: RNAcentral